UCGGAUUCCAAGCACUGACCCGGCGCAACAAGCAUGUGGCAGGGUGCCUGGUUCCUGGUGCUGCUUUUCAGCUGUAGAAGUGUGGCUCAGACCCUGAUCCAGCCCAAAGCAUCGAUGACGGUACCUGUCGGAAAAACCGCGCGAAUACUGUGUCAAGUUCAUGGAGGCUCCGUCAGCAGUAGUUAUCCCCUUCACUGGUACCAACAGAAACCGGGCAAGCCGCUCCAAUGGAUACUCUAUUAUGGAGAUCGGGGAAUCAAGCCUCCGAAAAUGCAUCUUCUCCCGCCCGAUCGUGAAGAGGAGAAGAACGAUAAAUUCUUUGUGGCUUGCCUGAUGACCGACUUCUUCCCCGAAGUGAUCAAAGUUAACUGGGAAGUCACUGGCAGGACAGAUCUAAAAAUUCUGACAGAGCCGGUGCAGGAGAAGAAUGGUAACUACUCGCUGAUUAGCCGUCUGGAAGUCUCCAGAGUGGAAUGGGAGGAGCAAACGGUCACUUGCCUGAUGACGCACGAGGCGUUAACCGACAAAUUAACAACUUCAGCACAACGCAGAGCUGAUCAAAAAAUUACCCCAAAUUUGGGAGAAGUCACCUGUCCAUCUGAAGAAUCAAGGGAGACCAGGAAUGAAGAAACCCCUUACACCUCACUGUGGGUUGCGACCUUGACAUAUACCGCUCUACUGACGAAGAGCGUGUUAUACUGCUUCUUCAUUUCGAUCGUCGUUUACAAGAUGGAGUCUCGCGGCGCGAAGAAGCCAAUGUAACUCGCAUUAAGAACAAUGUAUAGUUUGAUAAUGUCUUCCAUUACAAUGUAAGCUUUCUCUUUGAUUUCUUCGUGGUAUACAGUACCGAGAAUUUUUACAUCCUGUUGCAAGCCACAUGGCUUUUGGGCGAGAGAUGGGGCACGUUUCCAGAUAACUACAGUGCAAAAUAGCUAGAAAUAGCUGCAUGAAUGUCGGUAAUCAAAUAUCAGUUGUCCUCUUGUGGGAAAACGGUUCGUUGUUCUUCAAGCGAAUUUUAUUGCUGAAUGUUUGCUAUUAGUUUGCCGGCUUUUAUAUUGUCAUGUUAUUUUGCAUUUAUCAUUGUGUAAAUCAGACAAUAAACUAGUCAGUAAGAUUUA
Molecule: non-coding RNA, 1118 nt
Organism: Hypanus sabinus (Atlantic stingray)
Lineage: Eukaryota; Metazoa; Chordata; Chondrichthyes; Myliobatiformes; Dasyatidae
Source: the annotation of a RefSeq genome assembly